Molecule: ribosomal RNA, 434 nt
Filed under: uncultured bacterium
Lineage: Bacteria
Description: bacterial SSU rRNA
Rfam family: Bacterial small subunit ribosomal RNA
Source: RNAcentral
UGAGGAAUAUUGGUCAAUGGUCGGGAGACUGAACCAGCCAAGCCGCGUGAGGGAUGAAGGUACAGAGUAUCGUAAACCUCUUUUGUCAGGGGACAAAAGGCGCCACGCGUGGCGCUCCGAGUGUACCUGAAGAAAAAGCAUCGGCUAACUCCGUGCCAGCAGCCGCGGUAAUACGGAGGAUGCGAGCGUUAUCCGGAUUUAUUGGGUUUAAAGGGUGCGUAGGCGGCGAGUUAAGUCAGCGGUAAAAGCCCGGGGCUCAACCCCGGCCCGCCGUUGAAACUGGCUUGCUUGAGUUGGAGAGAAGUAGGCGGAAUGCGCGGUGUAGCGGUGAAAUGCUUAGAUAUCGCGCAGAACUCCGAUUGCGAAGGCAGCCUACCGGCUCCAGACUGACGCUGAGGCACGAAAGCGUGGGUAUCGAACAGGAUUAGAUACCC